This 771-nucleotide non-coding RNA is filed under the name Nurudea yanoniella. The record is from RNAcentral. Lineage: Eukaryota; Metazoa; Arthropoda; Insecta; Hemiptera; Aphididae.
UAUUAAAUUUUAAAAUAAUAAUUUAUUUUGUUAUUUAAUUUUAUUAGAUUGAAAAAAUAUAUGAAAAUUGUUAUAUGAUAAUUGAUUCUUAAAGGAUUUUAAUUAAUCUCAGUAUUUAAUAUUAAAUAUUAAUGAAAUUUAGAUUUAAUUAUUAAUUUAAGUAUAAACUAAAUAUGUGCCAGCAGUUGCGGUUAAACAUAAUAUAUAAAUAAAAUAAUUUAGUUAUUAGUAUGAAAUAGUUUAAAUAAUUUAAUUUUUAAUUUAAGGUAAAAUUUAAUUUAAAAUUAAAAUUGUAAUUAUUUUAUUCUAUUAAACUUUAUUUAAAACUAGGAUUAGAUACCCUAUUAUAAAAGUUUAAAAUUUAUUACUAAAAAAUUAAUAGUUAAGUUCUUUAAAUUUAAAAAAUUUGGCGGUAUUUUAGUCUUAUUAGAGGAACCUGUUUUUUAAUUGAUAAUCCACGAUUUAUUUUACUUAUAUUAAAAAUUUAUAUAUCGCUGUCAUGAAUAUAUUUUAAAAUUUAUUUUCUUUAAUUAAUUUAAUAAUUUAUGUUAAGUCAAGAUGUGGUUUAUAUAUAAGAAAAUAAUGGGUUACAAUAAAUUUGAUUUUUGGAUUUUAUAUGAAAAUUUAAAAUGAAAGUGGAUUUAAUAGUAAAUUUAAUUAUUUUAUUAAUAUGAAUAUAGAUCUAAAAUAUGUACAUAUUGCCCGUCAUUCUUAUGAAAAGUAAGACAAGUCGUAACAAAGUAAAUGUACUGGAAAGUGUAUUUAGAAAGA